ACGAAAAUUCAUUUUAUUUCAACAACACUCAUCUACCACACCUAAAAUGAGUUCACUAGUAUUCACUUUUAAAAGAUGACAUCACUCACCUAAAGUCAUAUUUCUAAUUCCUUCUCACUUACCACCGUGGCCCACUCCAUCACUUACCAAUUUUUAAGAUAAAACCUCAACCCAAAAAUAUAUACUCUUUCUUCUUUGCAUCCAGAAAACAACUAUGGCACUACAAUUAUAAAAAAAAUAUAGAAAAACAUCAUCCUUGAAAUCCUUAGCGUGGGACCCACAUCUUCCCUUCCAUUUCACAAGAAAGAUCUAUAUUAUAUUAAUAUAAUAUAGAUAUACGUAUUGUUUACUUUAUUACAUAAAUAUCUAUAUUAUAUUAAACUAAUAU
This 388-nucleotide long non-coding RNA is filed under the name Vigna radiata. RNAcentral's name for it is "long non-coding RNA (VRAD_LNC001372)". The record is from RNAcentral. Lineage: Eukaryota; Viridiplantae; Streptophyta; Magnoliopsida; Fabales; Fabaceae.